GAGACAAGCAUAUGACUACUGGCAGGAUCAACCAGGUAGCGUUCCUUCGCGACGCCGACGCCCGCACGACGCCCCCGCGAGGGCUCGAGACGGGCACGGCAGUCGUUCGCUUUGCUUUGCGUCGAGGGACAAAUCGCGUUGCUCGGGCGAGCAGAGUCUGUUGUGACAGACCCCGCGCCCGCGCACGACGUUCCGCAUCCGAGAGAACGGGCAUAGCGCACCGUGGGCCGAGGCAGCCAAAGCGACUGGGCGAGGCUUGCCGGGAACACGGGGCGUGCCUAACGUCCACCCCACAAUCCGCGAGGGCUGGGGGCGGAGAGGGACGAACGAGACCGUCGGAUUCCUUUCGAUAGGUAAGCAACACAGGAUACCGAA
This 375-nucleotide unclassified non-coding RNA is filed under the name Commiphora rostrata. RNAcentral's name for it is "partial external transcribed spacer". The record is from RNAcentral. Lineage: Eukaryota; Viridiplantae; Streptophyta; Magnoliopsida; Sapindales; Burseraceae.